GGGAAGCGAGGAAGUGGAACCUGCCGAUUGCUAGCGUGUGGCUCCGACAUGUUGCAUUACGAAUCCCAGAUUUCCAGUGCGUAAGCAUAUCGUGAACACACCUCCUUUGCAUUCAGGUUUUAGUUCGAUCAUGAGGUCAUUGUGUAUGAGUAUAUAUGUAACAAUAUCAUAUGCUUCAGGCCAUUUAGUACAUGCGUAUGGGUAUAUAUGUACCAAUGUCAUAUGCUUCAGGUCAUGGAGUACAUUCAUGACGUUUUGACGAACACAUGCUAUCAGUUGCAAGUAACAGCAAUUCUCCCAUUUGGUGGAUUCAUCAUAAUGUGAAUAUAUAGGCCGGCGAACGCGGCGAUGCAGAGCUCGGCGUCGGAGGCCAGGAAGGCGGCACGGCACUGCAGGAACUGGGUUAUCAUGCCGCCAUCUGCCCUUGAUAGAAAUUGGAGAUGGCCCAUCCUGUUGAUUCCCCCUCUACUCUGCAUGUUCCGUUAUGUUUGAUUUUGAGGGAUGGCUCACGUCUUCACCUCUGGUCACAGAUUUAUAUAGGAAAAACUGGAUGGGCGUGGCCUCCCUGUAUUGUUGGCGGCACAAACUUCUGCAUUCAAGUUGAAGGACAAUGGACCCGAGGAGGCUAAGACUUGAUGAGUUCUUACUGAUCAGAUCAGCUAUAUAUCCGUUCAACAAUUAUUAAAAGCUGCAGAUAAUAGGAGACAAGCUGGAAUGGCAUAAUCUUGGCCUGGUGUUUAGAUAACCUUGUAAUCUCAUCUUUAGGCAUAUUUUGUACAGAAAAGUUUUGUGUUUGCCUUCCUGAUUUGGUCUGAUGGAUGAUCAAGCUGCCGAGGCAUUCCAUCCCUUCUCCAUUUAAUAGGCUAAGGUGAGUUGUCUAGCAUUACUCCAUUUAAAUGAUGAAUCACCCUUAAAUAUCAGGGGUUGGAGACUAACAUAACACUGGAAAUUUUUAUUGGUUGAGUUCAGCAUUUAUCACAUUGCUAAACACUUUCAAGCAGCUGGACCACAAUAUGUAAGUUUGGAUUAGUCGAGUUACUUGUUGGUUCUGUUUAUAUUUACCAUAAUUUCUGAACUUUAAAAGUUCUCAAGUGAAUUUACUUACUAUAAGAUAAGAAAUCAGUGCUUCCAUGUAAUAAAUAAUUCAAACUGUGUUCAAAUUUAUGUAAUGUCUGUUCAUAUAAUAUAAUCUUAACAUAUAUGGACAUUUAUUGGUACAUGGUAAAAUGACAAAUUUAUUCUCUAUAUGGUAGAUUAGGUUUUCUGAUACUCUACUGCAGUGAACAAGGGUUACACAACGUGCUAGUUUUGAUUUAUACUUUUAUGAUACUAGCACUGGGAGAAUAUAUAUACUUGAAGAUUGAUAUUUAUAAAGGAAAUAUUGGGUGCUACUAGCUCCAUAAUAGGUGAAUUGAUCUCAUCUACAGUAGUACUCUUUGCUUGAUCCAUACCUUUUUUUUAGAUUAUAGUCACUCAGCUAGAUUAGUUGACUUGUUGGAAAACAUAGCAAGUUAGUUGACAGAAAGCCACUCAAAGUAGGUCCCACUCAACUGAAUUGUGAGCUUUAUCUAUACUAUGAAUGUGGUUUGUAUGAUUGAUGUGCUUGUGCUCAACUUUAAAACUAAUUUGCAGCCAAAUGAGCUUCUAUUUUUUUAUUUGUUUAAAUGAUCUUGUUGGAUGACCAGUUGGUAAAAGGAGCUGUUAACCAGUUGGUAAAAAGAGCUGUUAACUUCAGUCUGUCUAUAUUGUUAACCUGAUUCCUCUAACGUGUGUUUUUAUUCAUUCAUAAACGUAUUUUUUUCCUGAGAUACUGAAUUCAUGCAUUAAUGUGAACUGGUUAUGUCUACAUGACAGCUGAAUGGAAAAGUAGACAGAUACAUUGAAUUGGUAACUGAGUAAGUGUUUCAUUUUUCUCAAACCAAUAAAACUCGUGCCUGUACUAGAACUCAAAAUUAAAAUUGCUGAAAACCAGCUAUCAUUCAAACAAGUCAGCAUGAAAUAUCUUUGCAUUGUUUAUCCUGACAAAUAUUGAGAACAGAGGGAAAAUCCAAAGGGAGAAAAGAGAGCUCGGCCACCAGCCCAAAGUCUGAAAAUUUUAGAUUAAUUAACCUUUCCGCCACUUUGCCGAUGUAAUUAGUCUAGAAGUCACAAGUGUUUUGGUAUUUCUUAAGACUGUAAACAUGAUAUACUUGCAAUGUUACCAGCUUCGGAAAAUCUGAUUUUAUUGUAA
Long non-coding RNA from Panicum virgatum (switchgrass), 2230 nucleotides. RefSeq lists it as uncharacterized. The record is from RefSeq and is a predicted model, not a curated record. Lineage: Eukaryota; Viridiplantae; Streptophyta; Magnoliopsida; Poales; Poaceae. The transcript has 5 exons.